GGUUAAGCGACUAAGCGUACACGGUGGAUGCCCUGGCAGUCAGAGGCGAUGAAGGACGUGCUAAUCUGCGAUAAGCGUCGGUAAGGUGAUAUGAACCGUUAUAACCGGCGAUUUCCGAAUGGGGAAACCCAGUGUGUUUCGACACACUAUCAUUAACUGAAUCCAUAGGUUAAUGAGGCGAACCGGGGGAACUGAAACAUCUAAGUACCCCGAGGAAAAGAAAUCAACCGAGAUUCCCCCAGUAGCGGCGAGCGAACGGGGAGCAGCCCAGAGCCUGAAUCAGUGUGUGUGUUAGUGGAAGCGUCUGGAAAGGCGCGCGAUACAGGGUGACAGCCCCGUACACAAAAAUGCACAUGCUGUGAGCUCGAUGAGUAGGGCGGGACACGUGGUAUCCUGUCUGAAUAUGGGGGGACCAUCCUCCAAGGCUAAAUACUCCUGACUGACCGAUAGUGAACCAGUACCGUGAGGGAAAGGCGAAAAGAACCCCGGCGAGGGGAGUGAAAAAGAACCUGAAACCGUGUACGUACAAGCAGUGGGAGCACGCUUAGGCGUGUGACUGCGUACCUUUUGUAUAAUGGGUCAGCGACUUAUAUUCUGUAGCAAGGUUAACCGAAUAGGGGAGCCGAAGGGAAACCGAGUCUUAACUGGGCGUUAAGUUGCAGGGUAUAGACCCGAAACCCGGUGAUCUAGCCAUGGGCAGGUUGAAGGUUGGGUAACACUAACUGGAGGACCGAACCGACUAAUGUUGAAAAAUUAGCGGAUGACUUGUGGCUGGGGGUGAAAGGCCAAUCAAACCGGGAGAUAGCUGGUUCUCCCCGAAAGCUAUUUAGGUAGCGCCUCGUGAAUUCAUCUCCGGGGGUAGAGCACUGUUUCGGCAAGGGGGUCAUCCCGACUUACCAACCCGAUGCAAACUGCGAAUACCGGAGAAUGUUAUCACGGGAGACACACGGCGGGUGCUAACGUCCGUCGUGAAGAGGGAAACAACCCAGACCGCCAGCUAAGGUCCCAAAGUCAUGGUUAAGUGGGAAACGAUGUGGGAAGGCCCAGACAGCCAGGAUGUUGGCUUAGAAGCAGCCAUCAUUUAAAGAAAGCGUAAUAGCUCACUGGUCGAGUCGGCCUGCGCGGAAGAUGUAACGGGGCUAAACCAUGCACCGAAGCUGCGGCAGCGACGCUUAUGCGUUGUUGGGUAGGGGAGCGUUCUGUAAGCCUGUGAAGGUGUGCUGUGAGGCAUGCUGGAGGUAUCAGAAGUGCGAAUGCUGACAUAAGUAACGAUAAAGCGGGUGAAAAGCCCGCUCGCCGGAAGACCAAGGGUUCCUGUCCAACGUUAAUCGGGGCAGGGUGAGUCGACCCCUAAGGCGAGGCCGAAAGGCGUAGUCGAUGGGAAACAGGUUAAUAUUCCUGUACUUGGUGUUACUGCGAAGGGGGGACGGAGAAGGCUAUGUUGGCCGGGCGACGGUUGUCCCGGUUUAAGCGUGUAGGCUGGUUUUCCAGGCAAAUCCGGAAAAUCAAGGCUGAGGCGUGAUGACGAGGCACUACGGUGCUGAAGCAACAAAUGCCCUGCUUCCAGGAAAAGCCUCUAAGCAUCAGGUAACAUCAAAUCGUACCCCAAACCGACACAGGUGGUCAGGUAGAGAAUACCAAGGCGCUUGAGAGAACUCGGGUGAAGGAACUAGGCAAAAUGGUGCCGUAACUUCGGGAGAAGGCACGCUGAUAUGUAGGUGAAGUCCCUCGCGGAUGGAGCUGAAAUCAGUCGAAGAUACCAGCUGGCUGCAACUGUUUAUUAAAAACACAGCACUGUGCAAACACGAAAGUGGACGUAUACGGUGUGACGCCUGCCCGGUGCCGGAAGGUUAAUUGAUGGGGUUAGCCGCAAGGCGAAGCUCUUGAUCGAAGCCCCGGUAAACGGCGGCCGUAACUAUAACGGUCCUAAGGUAGCGAAAUUCCUUGUCGGGUAAGUUCCGACCUGCACGAAUGGCGUAAUGAUGGCCAGGCUGUCUCCACCCGAGACUCAGUGAAAUUGAACUCGCUGUGAAGAUGCAGUGUACCCGCGGCAAGACGGAAAGACCCCGUGAACCUUUACUAUAGCUUGACACUGAACAUUGAGCCUUGAUGUGUAGGAUAGGUGGGAGGCUUUGAAGUGUGGACGCCAGUCUGCAUGGAGCCGACCUUGAAAUACCACCCUUUAAUGUUUGAUGUUCUAACGUUGACCCGUAAUCCGGGUUGCGGACAGUGUCUGGUGGGUAGUUUGACUGGGGCGGUCUCCUCCUAAAGAGUAACGGAGGAGCACGAAGGUUGGCUAAUCCUGGUCGGACAUCAGGAGGUUAGUGCAAUGGCAUAAGCCAGCUUGACUGCGAGCGUGACGGCGCGAGCAGGUGCGAAAGCAGGUCAUAGUGAUCCGGUGGUUCUGAAUGGAAGGGCCAUCGCUCAACGGAUAAAAGGUACUCCGGGGAUAACAGGCUGAUACCGCCCAAGAGUUCAUAUCGACGGCGGUGUUUGGCACCUCGAUGUCGGCUCAUCACAUCCUGGGGCUGAAGUAGGUCCCAAGGGUAUGGCUGUUCGCCAUUUAAAGUGGUACGCGAGCUGGGUUUAGAACGUCGUGAGACAGUUCGGUCCCUAUCUGCCGUGGGCGCUGGAGAACUGAGGGGGGCUGCUCCUAGUACGAGAGGACCGGAGUGGACGCAUCACUGGUGUUCGGGUUGUCAUGCCAAUGGCACUGCCCGGUAGCUAAAUGCGGAAGAGAUAAGUGCUGAAAGCAUCUAAGCACGAAACUUGCCCCGAGAUGAGUUCUCCCUGAC
This 2795-nucleotide ribosomal RNA is filed under the name Escherichia coli. RNAcentral describes it as "partial 23S ribosomal RNA". It matches the Rfam family "Bacterial large subunit ribosomal RNA". The record is from RNAcentral. Lineage: Bacteria; Pseudomonadati; Pseudomonadota; Gammaproteobacteria; Enterobacterales; Enterobacteriaceae.